UACAGAGGUCUCAAGCGUUGUUCGGAUUCAUUGGGCGUAAAGGGUGUGUAGGUGGCGCGCUAAGUCGGGUGUGAAAUUUCGGAGCUUAACUCCGGAACUGCAUUCGAUACUGGCGUGCUUGAGGACUGGAGAGGAGACUGGAAUUCAUGGUGUAGCAGUGAAAUGCGUAGAGAUCAUGAGGAAGACCAGUGGCGAAGGCGGGUCUCUGGACAGUUCCUGACGCUGAGGAGCGAAAGCGUGGGGAGCGAACAGG
RNAcentral lists this ribosomal RNA (253 nucleotides) under uncultured bacterium. RNAcentral describes it as "partial 16S ribosomal RNA". It matches the Rfam family "Bacterial small subunit ribosomal RNA", at positions 524 to 776 of the family's 1533-position model. The record is from RNAcentral.